UCCUUCUGGCAAUGGUCAAAGAGACACCUUGUUAGUGGAGGUGUUCUUACAUCAGUCAGGGCAGAGCAGAUGGCAGUCCUUAGAUCAUCCUACCUUGAUGCCUGGCUUAGUGGCCAAAGCUGUAUUAUGCCUAGGACUCAUAA
Acomys russatus (golden spiny mouse) is the source of this 143-nucleotide small nucleolar RNA. RefSeq annotates it as small nucleolar RNA SNORA48. NCBI's taxonomy places the organism in Eukaryota, Metazoa, Chordata, Mammalia, Rodentia, Muridae. The record is from RefSeq and is a predicted model, not a curated record. The transcript has a single exon.